RNAcentral lists this unclassified non-coding RNA (1833 nucleotides) under Nilaparvata lugens (brown planthopper). Its description in RNAcentral is "uncharacterized LOC120351807, transcript variant X2". Lineage: Eukaryota; Metazoa; Arthropoda; Insecta; Hemiptera; Delphacidae. The record is from RNAcentral.
AAAUCAUGCGAAAUACCUUAUGCUAUUACUCGCUCACUAUUAGAGUAAAACUUGUUUUGAAAACUGAUUUAUUCUUGUAAUAUCUAUAUCCAUGUCGCUACCAUGUCGAUUUAUUUUUAUUUUUUAUUUAAACAAAAAUAUUUUUUUUAAUUUCAAAGGGAUCCAUUUUUUCAAGAAAAACAGGUAGUCAUUUUGAAGAUUUGAUGAUAAAAAAUUUUUAUCAUUUUUCAGCUUGAAAAUCGAACCAGUGGUUCCAUCGGAAUCAUAUUUACAAGUUUUAUCUCUAUGAUUUUUUAUGCGCUCCUACCCUCCACCCCAUCCAAACGUCACUCAGGCACCUUCUACCCCAACACACAAGUCACUCACCCACCACCCCACCCACAAGUCAGCCUUCAUUCUUAGUGCUCAGGCUGGUCACAACUUUUCUUAGUUCUUCAGCUUGUUCACUUGUCAUAUUGACAGUGAUCGUGGCUAGUCCUAGGACAUAGUAUUUCCAGACGCACUUCACAUAUAAUUUAGAUUUCCGUAUUAUAUAUGUUUCUCUGGCAUUUUCGGCCGGUAAAAUGGAUUCAAGACAUACGGUGAAGGGAAAGAAGAAGUUGGUUCUUUCAGCCAGGAGAAUGAAAAGGCGGCUACCACCAGAAUUUCAUGCUAACAGACGUAGAAGGAUUGAAGAACAAACCUUAUCGCUCGAAGCGCCUUCAUCUUCCCAGGCUGACAGUGUUUCAGCAGAUGCCAUUUCUGUAUCCACUGAGAACUUUCAACCCAGUGCAACGUCAACUCCUAAAGGAAAGAAGAGAAGACCACACAACAGAAAAGUACCAGUGCAUUUGAUGAAAUUGAGAUUACAGCAAAAGAAAUCUAAAGGAGAAGAAAAAUCAGGGCCAUCAACAUCUUCUUCCACCUUAUAGUCAAAUCUAAAAAAAAGCGUCCUUGAUGGCACCUCUGAUUUUGCUACAAUUGUGCCACCAUUCCCCUCAAUUGGUCUACAACCAGCUUUGAACCAUGAGAUUGAUACCACCUCAAUGCGAAAUAGUGGAGUUUCUUACGUGGAGAGUAACGUCUGUGAUACUUUACUAACAAGAUAUGAUGAGUAUCCAGAUCUAAUAGUUGAGCCGGAUGGAAGACCACCCAAAGACGAUUUUAAUAUUAUUUCUGGCCGAUUUAUUGUGGACAGCAAACAUCUUGUGCAAGAAUUGAGAUCUUUGGACUACCAUAGAUACGAGUGUGAAAAAAGUGAUAAUGGUUAUAUGACACUGGUGUCUUCAACUUCAAAAUCAUCAGAAUGGACAAUGAAGUUCGUUGUAUGGACAGCUCCACGAACCAGCUGCCAUAAAUGCGUUUCAAGAAAUGGAAGAAAUUCAAGUUCAGCCUUGCGGUUUGUUUGUUGACAAAGAACAUGACUUCUUGGCGGCUUCACCUGACGGACUGGUCGGAGGUGAUAAUCUGAUUGAGGUGAAAUGUCCGAAGUCUGCUGAAAACCUCACUAUCAGCGAAGCCGUGAUCAAAGUGAAAUCAUUCUGCUUGGAAAAACUACGUUGUGGAAACGUCCGUCUCAAGAAAAACCACAAUUAUUAUUACCAGGUGCAAGGGCAACUACAUGUAGCUGAGAAAAAAUCUGUUAUUUUGUAGUAUGGACAAAAAAGAUAUCCAUAUUGAAAAGAUCGAGAGGGGUGUUGGUUUUGGACCGAGAAGAUGGAGAAAAAAUUAAUUUAUUUCUACCAUCACGCCUUGUUGCCAGAGAUACUGGAUCCUCGAACUUGUCGAAGUAUGGCAAUCAGGGAGCCAUCAAUCCCUUUUUCUCAUUUUUAAAUAAAGUCUCAUUGAAAAUUA